GUGAGGAAUAUUGGUCAAUGGGCGGGAGCCUGAACCAGCCAAGUCGCGUGAAGGAAGAAGGAUCUAUGGUUCGUAAACUUCUUUUGCAGGGGAAUAAAGUGCAGGACGUGUCCUGUUUUGUAUGUACCCUGAGAAUAAGGAUCGGCUAACUCCGUGCCAGCAGCCGCGGUAAUACGGAGGAUCCGAGCGUUAUCCGGAUUUAUUGGGUUUAAAGGGUGCGUAGGUGGUUUGAUAAGUCAGCGGUGAAAGUUUGCAGCUUAACUGUAAAAAUGCCGUUGAAACUGUCGUGCUUGAGUGUAAAUGAGGUAGGCGGAAUGCGUGGUGUAGCGGUGAAAUGCAUAGAUAUCACGCAGAACUCCGAUUGCGAAGGCAGCUUACUAAGCUACAACUGACACUGAAGCACGAAAGCGUGGCGAUCAAACAGGAUUAGAUACCCCCGUAGUCC
Molecule: ribosomal RNA, 445 nt
Filed under: uncultured bacterium
Lineage: Bacteria
Description: partial 16S ribosomal RNA
Rfam family: Bacterial small subunit ribosomal RNA
Source: RNAcentral